This 497-nucleotide ribosomal RNA is filed under the name uncultured bacterium. Its description in RNAcentral is "partial 16S ribosomal RNA". It matches the Rfam family "Bacterial small subunit ribosomal RNA", at positions 28 to 507 of the family's 1533-position model. The record is from RNAcentral.
GAUGAACGCUGGCGGCGUGCCUAAUACAUGCAAGUCGAGCGAACGGACGAGAAGCUUGCUUCUCUGAUGUUAGCGGCGGACGGGUGAGUAACACGUGGAUAACCUACCUAUAAGACUGGGAUAACUUCGGGAAACCGGAGCUAAUACCGGAUAAUAUUUUGAACCGCAUGGUUCAAAAGUGAAAGACGGUCUUGCUGUCACUUAUAGAUGGAUCCGCGCUGCAUUAGCUAGUUGGUAAGGUAACGGCUUACCAAGGCAACGAUGCAUAGCCGACCUGAGAGGGUGAUCGGCCACACUAGAACUGAGACACGGUCCAGACUCCUAAGGGAGGCAGCAGUAGGGAAUCUUCCGCAAUGGGCGAAAGCCUGACGGAGCAACGCCGCGUGAGUGAUGAAGGUCUUCGGAUCGUAAAACUCUGUUAUUAGGGAAGAACAUAUGUGUAAGUAACUGUGCACAUCUUGACGGUACCUAAUCAGAAAGCCACGGCUAACUACGUG